This is a non-coding RNA of Aegilops tauschii subsp. strangulata, 1321 nucleotides long. The record is from RefSeq and is a predicted model, not a curated record. NCBI's taxonomy places the organism in Eukaryota, Viridiplantae, Streptophyta, Magnoliopsida, Poales, Poaceae.
ACCUAGCAAAUGCGGUGGCUUUCUGUAAAUUUCCUCCCUAUCCAAUCAAAACCCAUCCAAACCCUCGCUCGAUCCCCUCUCGCCCCACCCGCCGGCGGCGCCACCGCCAGAGCCACCGGCUCCCCCCCACCUCUGAUCCGGCGCUGCCGCGCCCUCUCGUCUCCUCCUUGUCCCAGAUCGGGAGCAGCUGAGCUCGGCGGAGGAGCAGCAGCAGCGACAUCUCAAGUUAGCAGUACAGGCAGUAUGGAUGGAACAAUGCAUGCUCCAAGCGGCGCCGAGCCACGUGUUGCUGCCCACUCUAGCGUGAACGGCAACGGCGCUGCCAGGCGCUUGCAUGAUGAAUGGCUGGAAGAGUAUGAAGCAGGUGUUUUCAUGAAGCUGAAGGACCUCGGUGACGGCACCCGAGAGCUGAAGAGGGUUCGGUUCAGCAAAAGGCGCUUUGGGGAGCAUCAGGCUGAGAAUUGGUGGAAAGAGAACCGCGAGAAGGUUUACGAGCGAUACAAUAUAAGGACCUCCCAACGAGCGUCGUCAGCAGCCCCAACCCACUCGGCCUAAUAACGUACCUUCCUGUUUCUUCACGCACAAACUGCAAGGCCAACCAUCAACGAGCAGCAGCAAAUCGUGAACGAAAUUAAGGGUUAUGUCAUAUGUGUACUGGGGGUGCAGACCGCCAUAUGUGAUCUUUAUCGUCUCUAGAUACUGUGGUAUUGGUAAGACUGUGACUUCGGUCCUGCAGGGGUACCUGGAUAUAUAUGCUCAACGUUUGAUCCAAUAUGAGGAAUUUUGACUUAGGAUUUCAAGUAAUUGGGAUCAAAGGCAUGGUACACUCUACCCUGUAUGUAUGGAUCACAGUAACUAGUGUAUGUCAAUUUAGAAGGUCCAGGUGUUGUCAUUUAUUCUUUUCAUAUAAGACCGGAUCCUCAUUGUUUUUCAGUUUUGGUCGCCGAUUUCUGCAUGUGCCGCUGUUGAAGAAAUAAAUACUCCUUCCAUGUCGCAAUACAAGUCGUUUUGGACAUUGACAUGGCUUCCAAGUUGGCAUGACGACUAGAGUAUGGAGUAUCUGAAAGUUGAAGUUAUGUAGCAGUAACAAGAAAAGAAGGAGAAAUUGGAAGACGAAACUAAGCAAGAAAAUUCUCCAGGAGCAUGAUCACCGAGUCACUCACUGACAGUUCAGGCUUCAUAGUUCAUUCCAUCUUCAGAAUGGGUUUCUUUGGAUUUCUAGCAAGCUGGGUCCGGAACUGUUCCUUGAGCCGUGCUUCCCUCUCUAACUCUGUACCCGCACGGUCCAUCUUGAAAUGAACGCUAAGCAAUACUUCCUUGA